RNAcentral lists this ribosomal RNA (302 nucleotides) under uncultured bacterium. RNAcentral's name for it is "partial 16S ribosomal RNA". It matches the Rfam family "Bacterial small subunit ribosomal RNA", at positions 508 to 807 of the family's 1533-position model. The record is from RNAcentral.
GCAGUCGCCGCGGUAAUACGUAGGGGGCAAGCGUUGUCCGGAAUUAUUGGGCGUAAAGCGCGUGUAGGCGGCUCAGCAAGUCCGCUCUGAAAGCCCAGGGCUCAACCCAGGGAUGCGGGUGGAUACUGCUGAGCUCGAGUCCGGAAGAGGCGAGUGGAAUUCCUGGUGUAGCGGUGAAAUGCGCAGAUAUCAGGAGGAACACCAAUGGCGAAGGCAGCUCGCUGGGACGUGACUGACGCUGAGACGCGAAAGCGUGGGGAGCAAACAGGAUUAGAUACCCCCGUAGUCCCUGUCUCUUAUAC